AGGAUUCUACUGAGGGGGAAAACAAGAGGAAGAAAGAAAGAUAGACAAGGUUUUCCUCAAGGCAGUAAGCAAAAAGCUGGUUUCUCAGAAGAAAGAAUUAUGUCUGAGAUUUUACCCAGGACUCUCCAGAUCUCUCAUUCUACACAGAAGGACCCUUUCAUUUGGAACGUGCAGAAACUGAGGAGGACCAUCUCUCUCCUCCAUGGGGGCUGCCUGAGUUAAAAAGGCCUGGGUCCAUCUUUUUUCCGUAGGAGAGCUGACUUCAGAGUCUAGAGCCAAAUCUUCACUUCUGUGGCUCUAGAUUGAGGAUUUGCCCUUCUGAUCUCUGUGGGGCUUUUUUUUUUUUUUUUUUUUAACCUGGGAAUUCCCCUGGGCUCUUCGGCUGUUAUUCUCAUCAACCCCUCUCUGUAUUCUGCAAGACAUUGAAAUCUUUCUCCCAGCUUGGCCCCCACCUCCAAUCCCAGUAUUCUCUUUUCUCAGAUUGGAGUAUUUCCAACCCCUCAGUUGCCAGGCACUGAAGGUUUUCAUCUUCCAGGCCUGCCAUGUUUACCUCUGAGAUGUUUCUGGCAACUGUCCACUUCUCUGCAUUCUCACACUGCUGCUCUUGAUAAGCUUCGAUUAUCUGGGGCUGAAUUGUUUCAAUAAUUUCCUAACUGAUUUUCUUGCCUCCUAUCUGUCCCCACUACCAACAUAGGCUUAAGAAUGUCACUCUCUUGACAAAACAAGCCAACAUCCUCUAUCCUCUGUCCCACUCCCAAACCUGCAGUAACUUUCCUGUGCAAUUGUAAUACAGUGUAAACUUUCAUAAGGAUGGGGAGUGGCCAAGAUGGCUGACCAGAAGCAGGUAAUGUACGUGGCUCUCACGGAGAGGAACAGAAGGGACGAGUAGAUACAACACCUUCAACUGAAACAUCCGGGUACUCGCAUUGGGAUUAAUCAAGGAAACAACCUGACCCACAGAGAACAAGGAAAAGCAAGACAGGACAACAGCCCACCUGGGAGCAACAGGGAACCAGGGGAUCUUCCCCUGCCCAGGGAAGUGGUCCUCCAGGCCUCGGCCUCCAGCCACUCCCCACCAGAGCUAUCCAGGCAAUACCAACUCAGCAACUUCCAGGACAGUGCCUCCAGGGGCAAUUGAAAGUGUCUUAGCCACUGCCUCUGCUGUGGAACUCCCCUUGCCAUCCUUGGACUAAAGAAGGAGCAAAGACCCUAAGUGCCUUUUCCAUACCAACAAGCUGCAGUAGACCCAAGGAAAGGAGGCCAGUCCAUCUCCCAUGUGUUCCACACUGCUCACCAGACAGGCAACCCCUGGCUUGGGUCCAAAGCACGAAUCCUCCAUCUUGGGCUGAUUGCACUGAGCAAUUGGUAACCUGCAUUUUUCUGGGGGUAGAGCCCCCAGGAGUCAAGCAAACGACUCUCGGCCACAACACCUACUAAGAUGAGCCUCUGCUACUUCUAAGCUGGGGAAGGAACAUAAACACUGAGAUCACUCCAGAGCUGCAGUGGGCAGUCCAGGGGUGCUAAGUCCUGAACUACAGCCAGCACUCAAGGGGGAGAGGAACCCACACUUUCGGAGCACUGAGAGGGAACACAGCUGCAACUGUGAAGAAACAUACAGGAGCAGGAGUCUACCAAUUGACCAAUAAGCCUAAGUGUCACCUGCGGGAUCACACCCCAAAGCUUCAACACGAAAAAUAUUUCACUAACAUACACACCUCUGAAACCAGAGACAAGAAGUCAGCUUCAAAUAAAGACCCUAUAGAAAGCCUCAGCACAGUGAAAACAUCCAAAAAAGAAGUCUAUUGACUGUAGUCAAUCUACGUUGCAGUCAAAUGAACACCCACACACAGAGAUGAGAAAGAACCAAUGCAAGAACUCCAGUUACUCAAAUGGCCAGAGUAUCAUACGUCCUCCAAACGAUCACACCAGUUCUCCAGCAAGAGUUCUUAACCAGGCUGAACUGGCUGGAAUAACAGAAAUAGAAUUCAAAAUAUGGAUAGGAACAAAGAGAUCAUCAAGAUUCAGGAAGAUGGCAAAACCCAAUCCAAGGAAAAUAAGAAUUACAAUAAAGUAAUACAGGUGCUGAAGGAUGAAAUA
Pan troglodytes (chimpanzee) is the source of this 2097-nucleotide long non-coding RNA. RefSeq lists it as uncharacterized. The transcript has 2 exons. The record is from RefSeq and is a predicted model, not a curated record. NCBI's taxonomy places the organism in Eukaryota, Metazoa, Chordata, Mammalia, Primates, Hominidae.